GGAUCAAUGAUGACUCCCACAAAAACAUUCCUUGGAAAGCUGAACAAAAUGACUGAGAGCUCAGCACCGUUGAUCUCAUCGUGACUGAGGUCC
RNAcentral lists this small nucleolar RNA (93 nucleotides) under Jaculus jaculus (lesser Egyptian jerboa). Its description in RNAcentral is "Small nucleolar RNA SNORD116 (ENSJJAG00000005901.1)". It matches the Rfam family "Small nucleolar RNA SNORD116". Rfam says of the family: HBII-85 is a member of the C/D class of snoRNAs, which contain the C (UGAUGA) and D (CUGA) box motifs. HBII-85 is encoded in a tandemly repeated array with another C/D snoRNA, HBII-52, in the Prader-Willi syndrome (PWS) region of chromosome 15. The record is from Rfam by way of RNAcentral. Lineage: Eukaryota; Metazoa; Chordata; Mammalia; Rodentia; Dipodidae.